ACGCUCGACACCUACGGAGGCAGCAGUGGGGAAUAUUGCACAAUGGGGGAAACCCUGAUGCAGCGACGCCGCGUGGAGGAAGAAGGUCUUCGGAUUGUAAACUCCUGUUGUUGGGGAAAAAGAGGAUGGUACCCAACAAGGAAGUGACGGCUAGCUACGUGCCAUCAGCCGCGGUAAUCUGAGCGGGCUGGCAAGGC
This 197-nucleotide ribosomal RNA is filed under the name uncultured bacterium. Its description in RNAcentral is "partial 16S ribosomal RNA". It matches the Rfam family "Bacterial small subunit ribosomal RNA", at positions 328 to 539 of the family's 1533-position model. The record is from RNAcentral.